Molecule: long non-coding RNA, 882 nt
Filed under: Capsella grandiflora
Lineage: Eukaryota; Viridiplantae; Streptophyta; Magnoliopsida; Brassicales; Brassicaceae
Description: long non-coding RNA (CGRA_LNC001706)
Source: RNAcentral
AUAUCGACCAGUCUUUAAAAACCUUUUCUCCUAACCACUCUGCAUUCUCCUCUCUUACGCGUGUCUCAAUGACACAUCCAAACUGCAAAUUCUGAUUCUCUACCCAUUUCUUGAUGACGGAAUGUUUAUGAGAUUUAUUUAGACCACGGACAUUCCAAAAGAAACCCGACAUUUAUUGUGGUUUGGGGAGGUUCCUUGCACUCUGAUCUCUAGAAGGAUUUCUAGAAGAUUGAGCAGAAGGUUUCUGAAGAAUUCUGUGGGCUGAUUUGGAGACACGAGGUAGAGAAGGUCGUGUUGCUAACUUUGUGUCAUGAUCCGUAGCCUUCCGUGGGACCUGCUGGGCCAGUGGUGGCUUCAGAUUAUCUUUUCCAGAAGUAGGAACGAUAGGAACUGCUUCCCUGCUGACCAAUUCCUCGUCAACAUGUUCACUUAGAACAGAGUAGGCAUUGGAGAGCAUUGAAAUUGAUCCCGAUUUCGGUUCUGGCGUGUGCUUCGCCGGGCUGCAACUCAUUUUUGGUGUAAUCCACACUUGAGUAUCAUCCUCAACUAGCCUCUGCUUAUCAUCUUCUGUAGGAGCGGAAGUUUGCAGCUCCUCAGUAACAGAGAACACUGUAACUUCCAAAGCAGGCUGAGACAGAACUUCGGAUUGUGGACACUGUAGUAUCUUCAGAGCUCAUAGUCACUUGAGUGGUCUCCUGCGCAGUAACCAAGCAAGUGUCCGUCGAGUGCCCCCAUUUUUUACAACCAUUACACCUUGGGGGUAGCCACGGGUAAGAGUACGUGAUGACAGCAUCAAGUUCUCCUUCUUCUGUACCCUUGAUAACAAACUCUGUGGGUAAGUCUUUUGUUAAAUCCGCUUCCACUCAAUAUUAUGUUAUAGUC